This 497-nucleotide ribosomal RNA is filed under the name uncultured bacterium. RNAcentral's name for it is "partial 16S ribosomal RNA". It matches the Rfam family "Bacterial small subunit ribosomal RNA", at positions 28 to 507 of the family's 1533-position model. The record is from RNAcentral.
GAUGAACGCUGGCGGCGUGCCUAAUACAUGCAAGUCGAGCGAACAGACGAGGAGCUUGCUCCUCUGACGUUAGCGGCGGACGGGUGAGUAACACGUGGAUAACCUACCUAUAAGACUGGGAUAACUUCUGGAAACCGGAGCUAAUACCGGAUAAUAUAUUGAACCGCAUGGUUCAAUAGUGAAAGACGGUUUUGCUGUCACUUAUAGAUGGAUCCGCGCCGCAUUAGCUAGUUGGUAAGGUAACGGCUUACCAAGGCAACGAUGCGUAGACGACCUGAGAGGGUGAUAGGCCACACUGGAACUGAGACACGGUCCAGACUCCUACGGGAGGCAGCAGUAGGGAAUCGUACGCAAUGGGCGAAAGCUUGACGGAGCAACGCCGCGUGAGUGAUGAAGGUCUUCGGAUCGUAAAACUCUGUUAUUAGGGAAGAACAAAUGUGUAAGUAAAAAUGCACGUCUUGACGGUACCUAAUCAGAAAGCCACGGCUAACUACGUG